Molecule: ribosomal RNA, 497 nt
Filed under: uncultured bacterium
Lineage: Bacteria
Description: partial 16S ribosomal RNA
Rfam family: Bacterial small subunit ribosomal RNA
Source: RNAcentral
GAUGAACGCUGGCGGCGUGCCUAAUACAUGCAAGUCGAGCGAACUGUCCAGAAUCUUUCUUCUCUGAUUUUAUCGGCGGACGGGUGAUUCACACAUGGAUAACCUACCUCUAAGACUGUUAUACCUUCGGGAAACCGGACCUACUACCGGAUAAUAUUUUGCCCCUCAUGGUUCACACGUGUAAUUCGGUCUUUCUUUCACUUAUAGCUCUCUCCGCCCUGCAUGAGCUAGUUGUUAAGGUAACGGCUUAACAAGGAAACGAUGCAUACCCGACCUGAGAGGGUGGACGAGCACACUGGAACUGAGACAGGGCACAGACACCUACGGGAGGAAGCAGUAGGGAAUCUUCCGCAAUGGGCGAAAGCCUGACGGAGCAAAGCCGCGGGAGGGAUGAAGGGCUUAGGAUGGGAAAACUAUGUUAGUAGGGAAGAACAAAUGUGUAAGUAACUGGGCACAUCAUGACGGUACCUAAUCAGAAAGCCACGGCUAACUACGUG